UUCACAGAGAAAGAAACUCUCACAACUUUCACAACUUCCUUUCUCCCUGCAGGUAAGAUGAGGAACUAGGAAACCAUCCAAACCCCCUCCCUCCCUUUUGGCAGAGGGCUUCUGGAUGGCAUUUUAAAGAGUCUGUUUGCUGACAACAAUAAAAACCAACUUGGAGGUAUAUCUGCAAAACUGGUAAAACAAGAAAGGCAAGUCCCUUGGCUUUUCUGGGCCUGGCGGCCUUGGACGGCACCAAAGACAGACAAGCCCGGAACUUUCAGCAGGUCAUGUUGAAGCAGGUUUCAGCCUCAACUGCACCUGCACACGGCACCGGUGGGCUGCGGACAGUGAGGGACCUGAGCCCGGCACGGUUAAGUCACUUGUCCAAAGUCACAGACCUGGGACCUGAACCCAGACCAAGCAGACCUCAGAGCACCACACCGCCUCCUCCCUGCUCCCAGGUGCUCCGAAACUGACCCCGACGUGCGCGUCUGUGUGUGCACAGAGAUGCCUCUCCUGCUGGAAGUGGACUCUCGGGUCAGCCUCCCCACCCCCUCUCUCCUGGGGUCCGCCCACCCCCCCGCCGUCCCUCUCAGCUCGUCCUCCGCUCCCCGCUCCAGAAGUACACUUAGGCCCUGCAUCCCUGCCCUCCCCGGUGAAGCAGAAGCUGUGUCCCUGCGUGGUGGCCACGGCACACAAUAGCCACUGCUCCCAGGGCCCGGCUCCUGCUGACCACAGCGGCCUCGUGACCCGCAUAGCGCACUGUCAGGAGAACGCGAAACAAAAAGCCUUUCUCCCUGCCACCGGGGCAGGACUGCUCAGAAACUGCACAAGAGCUCUUUUCAGAGCCGAGGAGGCCAGAUAACAUUUUUCUGCGUCUCUGAAAUGCAUGCUCAAUGACCUGUGUCACUGGGACAGGCCGGUAAACCGCCCAUGCGUGGUUGGCAAUGACUGGUUCCGGAGCCCGGGUCUGUGCGUUCUCCCAUGGAAGGUUCUCCUCGACUCGGCCCGUAGCGGGGAAAGCGAUCACACGCGGACCGAGCGCUCAGUUGGCACGUAUGAUGCCUCCCCACGUCGCGCGGCCCCCAGGGCCGGUCUUCCUACGUUCUCCUUUAUCAGAGAAACUGGGGCCCCAUCCCCUCCCCAUAUUCUCCGCCAUCUUGGUGGUAUGGGUGCCUCUAGAACCAUGCGUCGGGUCAAUCGGCACCACCAGUGGGUGGAUAGAAAGUGGGACUGGAGGGAAGUUUCCACCGUCGGGCCACUCAUUCGUGCCACGCAUGCUGGGCACAGGGGGCACAGGGCGGGGGGGAGGGGGGACCCAGGUGACCAGGUCCCUGCCCUCUCAGAGCUCAAGUCCAAGGGGGAGAUGGGUGGUAAAUAGAAUGACACGUGGAACCACAAGCACCGUGAAACGGACUCGGAAAAAAAGUAAAAGGAAAAAAUACGACUUUAUGAGCAAAAA
Molecule: long non-coding RNA, 1450 nt
Organism: Felis catus (domestic cat)
Lineage: Eukaryota; Metazoa; Chordata; Mammalia; Carnivora; Felidae
Exons: 2
Source: RefSeq, a predicted model, not a curated record